This is a non-coding RNA of Candidatus Brocadia fulgida, 141 nucleotides long. The record is from Rfam. NCBI's taxonomy places the organism in Bacteria, Pseudomonadati, Planctomycetota, Candidatus Brocadiia, Candidatus Brocadiales, Candidatus Brocadiaceae.
CUUGAUAAAGGCAAACCCUGAGCAAUCAGGGGACGCAAAGGAAAGGGUCUUCCCCUGUACAGGGUAGUAGAGGGGUAAAAUAACAGGUUGUUACGUAUACGGAAAUACGGGUAGCACAAAAAGAUAGCCUUACUGCCAAAA